CCCUUAGAUGUCCUGGGCCGCACGCGCGCUACACUGAUGCAUUCAACGAGCCAACCCUGUGCCGAGAGGUACGGGUAAUCUGCGAAAGUGCAUCGUGAUGGGGCUAGAUUAUUGCAAUUAUUGAUCUUCAACGAGGAAUGCCUAGUAAGCGCGAGUCAUCAACUCGCGUUGAUUACGUCCCUGCCGUUUGUACACACCGCCCGUCGCUCCUACCGAUUGGGUGUGCUGGUGAAAUGUUCGGAUCGGCCGUUUGUCGCGGUUUCCGCGUCAUGUGGCUGAGAAGUUCAUUAAACCCUCCCACCUAGAGGAAGGAGAAGUCGUAACA
RNAcentral lists this ribosomal RNA (325 nucleotides) under uncultured eukaryote. RNAcentral describes it as "partial 18S ribosomal RNA". It matches the Rfam family "Eukaryotic small subunit ribosomal RNA", at positions 1470 to 1796 of the family's 1831-position model. The record is from RNAcentral.